This 730-nucleotide ribosomal RNA is filed under the name uncultured Parvimonas sp. RNAcentral describes it as "bacterial SSU rRNA". It matches the Rfam family "Bacterial small subunit ribosomal RNA", at positions 28 to 776 of the family's 1533-position model. The record is from RNAcentral. Lineage: Bacteria; Bacillati; Bacillota; Tissierellia; Tissierellales; Peptoniphilaceae.
GACGAACGCUGGCGGCGUGCUUAACACAUGCAAGUCGAACGAUGAAGCCUAGCUUGCUAGGUGGAUUAGUGGCGAACGGGUGAGUAACACGUGAGCAACCUACCUUACACAGGGGGAUAGCCGUUGGAAACGACGAUUAAUACCGCAUGAGACCACAGAAUCGCAUGAUAUAGGGGUCAAAGAUUUAUCGGUGUAAGAAGGGCUCGCGUCUGAUUAGCUAGUUGGAAGGGUAAAGGCCUACCAAGGCGACGAUCAGUAGCCGGUCUGAGAGGAUGAACGGCCACAUUGGAACUGAGACACGGUCCAAACUCCUACGGGAGGCAGCAGUGGGGAAUAUUGCACAAUGGGGGGAACCCUGAUGCAGCGACGCCGCGUGAGCGAAGAAGGUUUUCGAAUCGUAAAGCUCUGUCCUAUGAGAAGAUAAUGACGGUAUCAUAGGAGGAAGCCCCGGCUAAAUACGUGCCAGCAGCCGCGGUAAUACGUAUGGGGCGAGCGUUGUCCGGAAUUAUUGGGCGUAAAGGGUACGUAGGCGGUUUUUUAAGUCAGGUGUGAAAGCGUGAGGCUUAACCUCAUUAAGCACUUGAAACUGGAAGACUUGAGUGAAGGAGAGGAAAGUGGAAUUCCUAGUGUAGCGGUGAAAUGCGUAGAUAUUAGGAGGAAUACCGGUGGCGAAGGCGACUUUCUGGACUUUUACUGACGCUCAGGUACGAAAGCGUGGGGAGCAAACAGG